AAUAGAUACCCUGGUAGUCCACGCCGUAAACGAUGGAUGCUAGCUGUUACCAGUAUCGACCCUGGUAGUAGCGAAGCUAACGCGUUAAGCAUCCCGCCUGUGGAGUACGAGCGCAAGCUUAAAACAUAAAGGAAUUGACGGGGACCCGCACAAGCGGUGGAGCGUGUUGUUUAAUUCGAUGAUAAGCGAAGAACCUUACCCAGGCUUGACAUCCUGCGAAUCUUGCCGAAAGGCGAGAGUGCUUUAUUGAACGCAGUGACAGGUGUUGCAUGGCCGUCGUCAGCUCGUGUCGUGAGAUGUUUGGUUAAGUCCAUCAACGAGCGCAACCCUUAUAGUCAGUUGAAUUUCUCUGGCUAGACUGCCCUGGUAACAGGGAGGAAGGAGGGGAUGAUGUCAGGUCAGUAUUACCCUUACGUCUGGGGCUACAAACACGCUACAAUGGCCGGUACAAAGGGCAGCCAACCCGCGAGGGGGAGCAAAUCCCAUCAAAGCCGGUCUCAGUUCGGAUAGCAGGCUGAAACUCG
Molecule: ribosomal RNA, 524 nt
Filed under: uncultured bacterium
Lineage: Bacteria
Description: bacterial SSU rRNA
Rfam family: Bacterial small subunit ribosomal RNA
Source: RNAcentral